UGGAUCACCUCCUAACAGGGAGACAACAAAAUGUUUAAUAUUAAUUUUGUCACCUUAGGUCGAUCGGUAUCUCACAUUCUUAAUUUAUUAAGGAUUUUAUUUCCUAAGUUUUUUCUAGGUCACACCCAUUAUUUUUCCUGGGCCAUUAGCUCAGGUGGUUAGAGCGCACCCCUGAUAAGGGUGAGGUCCCUGGUUCAAGUCCAGGAUGGCCCAUAUCUCUAUGUUGGGGGUAUAGCUCAGUUGGUAGAGCGCCUGCUUUGCAAGCAGGAUGUCAGCGGUUCGAGUCCGCUUACCUCCACUGAUUACCACCUCUUCCAUAAUUUAUAGAAGGAAAAUUUCUUGAGGUGUGAUCAAUUUCUGAACGAAUCUAGCUUCCUAAUAUAUUUUAUUAAGAUGCUGGACUCAUUGAAUUAAUUUCAUUGUUUUCAGAGAACCUUGACAACUGCAUAGAUUAUUUUUAAAGACAAUAAGCAUCUUUAAUGAUGCAGAUUUAUUAUUUGUGCAAAUGCAUUAAUAACAAUUCUAUUAAGCUGAUGCUUCAAUUUUUUGAAGUUAUUGGUCAAGCUACAAAGGGCUCACGGAGGAUACCUAGGCACACAGAGGCGAUGAAGG
This 612-nucleotide transfer RNA is filed under the name uncultured Prochlorococcus sp. RNAcentral describes it as "partial contains 16S ribosomal RNA, 16S-23S ribosomal RNA intergenic spacer, and 23S ribosomal RNA". The stretch from base 226 to 298 matches the Rfam family "tRNA". Lineage: Bacteria; Bacillati; Cyanobacteriota; Cyanophyceae; Synechococcales; Prochlorococcaceae. The record is from RNAcentral.